UACGAAGGGGGCUAGCGUUGCUCGGAAUCACUGGGCGUAAAGCGCACGUAGGCGGACUCUUAAGUCAGGGGUGAAAUCCUGGAGCUCAACUCCAGAACUGCCUUUGAUACUGGGAAGCUUGAGUCCGGGAGAGGUGAGUGGAACUCCGAGUGUAGAGGUGAAAUUCGUAGAUAUUCGGAAGAACACCAGUGGCGAAGGCGGCUCACUGGCCCGGUACUGACGCUGAGGUGCGAAAGCGUGGGGAGCAAACAGG
RNAcentral lists this ribosomal RNA (253 nucleotides) under uncultured bacterium. Its description in RNAcentral is "partial 16S ribosomal RNA". It matches the Rfam family "Bacterial small subunit ribosomal RNA", at positions 524 to 776 of the family's 1533-position model. The record is from RNAcentral.